This 410-nucleotide ribosomal RNA is filed under the name uncultured bacterium. Its description in RNAcentral is "bacterial SSU rRNA". It matches the Rfam family "Bacterial small subunit ribosomal RNA", at positions 8 to 419 of the family's 1533-position model. The record is from RNAcentral.
AGAGUUUGAUCCUGGCUCAGAAUGAACGCUGGCGGCGUGCCUAACACAUGCAAGUCGGAUGUGCCGCAAGGUGCAUGGCAGACGGGUGAGUAGCGCGUAGGGAAUCUACCUUUUUGUGGGGAAUAACGCUCCGAAAGGAGUGGUAAUACCGCAUGAGACCGCAGACUGGGAUGUUUGUGGUGAAACCUGGGGACCGCAAGGCCUGGGGCAAGAAGAGGAUCCUGCGUCUGAUUAGCUAGUUGGCGGGGUAAUGGCCCACCAAGGCGACGAUCAGUAGCCGGCCUGAGAGGGUGAUCGGCCACACUGGAACUGAGACACGGUCCAGACUCCUACGGGAGGCAGCAGUGGGGAAUUUUGCGCAAUGGACGAGAGUCUGACGCAGCAACGCCGCGUGGGUGAUGAAGGUCUUC